UGGUGGGAUGCUCGCAGGCUAACGAAAAGGCUAAGAUAACUAACCAUACCAUUUUGCAAGGACUAAAGGCUAGGAUCGGCUAGGCUAAAAAAGCAUGGGUGGAUGAGUUGCAUAAUAAACUCUGGGUCUACUGCACCACUCAAAAGAUACCUAUUGGAGAGACUCCUUUCAUCCUCUCCUUCGGAAGGAAGUCAUCAUCCUAAUAGAAAUUAGACUCCCUUCACAUCG
RNAcentral lists this long non-coding RNA (228 nucleotides) under Elaeis guineensis (African oil palm). Its description in RNAcentral is "long non-coding RNA (EGUI_LNC009606)". The record is from RNAcentral. Lineage: Eukaryota; Viridiplantae; Streptophyta; Magnoliopsida; Arecales; Arecaceae.